AAAACGAAAAACCCUACCUCGCCUUGACACUUAUAGAACGGACCAGAGAGGGACCGGGGCCCUUUGGGGAACUCAAAAACAGGUGCUGCACGGCUGUCGUCAGCUCGUGUCGUGAGAUGUUGGGUUAAGUCCCGCAACGAGCGCAACCCUUGUCCUUAGUUGCCAGCAGGUUAAGGUGGGCACUCUAAGGAGACUGCCUUUGCAAAGAGGAGGAAGGGGGGGGAGACGUCAAGUCAUCAUGGCCCUUACGGGCAGGGGUACACACGUGCUACAAUGGGGCGGACAGAGAGGUGCCUACCGCGAGGGGGAGCCUAUCUCAUAAAGCGUGUUUCAGUUCGGGAUGGGGUUUGCAAAUUGAAUCCCUGAGGGUGGAAACAGUUGGAA
This 384-nucleotide ribosomal RNA is filed under the name uncultured bacterium. RNAcentral's name for it is "bacterial SSU rRNA". It matches the Rfam family "Bacterial small subunit ribosomal RNA", at positions 958 to 1341 of the family's 1533-position model. The record is from RNAcentral.